Molecule: long non-coding RNA, 242 nt
Filed under: Micromonas pusilla
Lineage: Eukaryota; Viridiplantae; Chlorophyta; Mamiellophyceae; Mamiellales; Mamiellaceae
Description: long non-coding RNA (MPUS_LNC000044)
Source: RNAcentral
CGGGGUUUCGCGCCUCCACGCGUCCCGCCGCGUGUUCGAGUGGAUGCACCGCGCCGGCUCCGCCGUGCCGGUGAUUCACAAUAUGCAGUUCGACGCGAGCGCGGAGAAGGACACCGUCGUGAUCGAGUCCGGCGCGCAGGCGGGCGGCUUGCUGUGCGACGGCCUCGGCGACGGCGUCGUCGUCGAGCACCCGGGGGUGCCGCUGUCGUAUCUCCGCACGACGUCGUUCGGCUUACUUCAGG